AAACACAUGAGCUAGCCGCCAAGCCAACGGCCGCCAAAAAAAUAAACAAACAACUGUGUUGAACAAAGAAUUAAGCAGAUUAAUUUUAACUAUCAUAUAAACAAUACACAAUUUAAGCUUGUUAAUCUAGCAUGCAAGAAAUAAUAUCAAGCAAAAACUAAAUAAUUAAAGCAAGCAAGGAAGAAACAAUAUCAACCCUGAACAUAAACUUUUCUCCAUACAAGAAACAAUAUCUCAUAUGAAAAGAAACAGCACCCAACAGUGUGAACAAUACUCACUGAAAAGAGUCCCUUACCUGCAAUAUAAAAUAAAUAUAUUAGUACAUAUUAAUAUAAAUAAACCUAACUACAUCUUAACCAAACAAUCUUAAAUAAUACCAAUACAUAUUAAGGAAAAUAAAAUAAAAAUAAUCCAAAUUUUAGUAUGGAAGAAAUAAUAUUAACCAUAAACUAAAAAAAAAAAACAAAGGAAGUAUGGUAGAAACAUGAAAUUCAACCAUAUCUAAUCCUUUAACUCCACUUGAGAAAUUCAUCUCAAAUGACAAGUUAACCUAUCUAAAUUAAAUGAGCAACCCUUCUUUUAAAAUAUAACCUAACUGCCUUGUACCUUCACAAUUGAGAUGUAACCCACCAUCUUUAUACGCAAAUAGCUACACCUUUGGCUUUCCACAUUUCAAAAAAUAUCUAUACGAAUGAAUGAAUUCGACUUCAUAACUCAAACAUAAAUUUAACAAAGCCAUAUUAACAUCCUUUAUCUUCUGACCCGUUUCCUCAAAAUCAACAGGACGAGGAAGAAUACCAGACAAAGCAAUAACCAUAGAAGGAAACAACAACUUGGCGGUAGAAAUUAAAUUACAAUAGGCAGAC
Molecule: long non-coding RNA, 866 nt
Filed under: Mytilus galloprovincialis (Mediterranean mussel)
Lineage: Eukaryota; Metazoa; Mollusca; Bivalvia; Mytilida; Mytilidae
Source: RNAcentral